AGAGUUUGAUCCUGGCUCAGGACGAACGCUGGCGGCGUGCUUAACACAUGCAAGUCGAGCGAGGCCUUUCGGGGCCUAGCGGCGAACGGGUGAGUAACACGUGAGCAACCUGCCCUUGGCUCUGGGAUAGCCUCCGGAAACGGGGAUUAAUACCGGACAGGACUUCCUCCCGCAUGGGAGGGGGUGGAAAGUUUUUCGGCCAGGGAGGGGCUCGCGGCCUAUCAGCUUGUUGGGGGGGUAACGGCCCACCAAGGCGACGACGGGUAGCCGGCCUGAGAGGGCGACCGGCCACACUGGGACUGAGACACGGCCCAGACUCCUACGGGAGGCAGCAGUGGGGAAUAUUGCGCAAUGGGCGGAAGCCUGACGCAGCGACGCCGCGUGCGGGAUGAAGGCCUUCGGGUUGUAAACCGCUUUCACCAGGGACGAAGCGAGAGUGACGGUACCUGGGGAAGAAGCGCCGGCUAACUACGUGCCAGCAGCCGCGGUAAUACGUAGGGCGCGAGCGUUGUCCGGAAUUAUUGGGCGUAAAGAGCUCGUAGGCGGCCUGUCGCGUCCGCUGUGAAAUCCCGGGGCUCAACCCCGGGCGUGCAGUGGAUACGGGCUGGCUGGAGGCAGGCAGGGGAGAACGGAAUUCCCGGUGUAGCGGUGAAAUGCGCAGAUAUCGGGAGGAACACCGGUGGCGAAGGCGGUUC
This 695-nucleotide ribosomal RNA is filed under the name uncultured bacterium. RNAcentral's name for it is "bacterial SSU rRNA". It matches the Rfam family "Bacterial small subunit ribosomal RNA", at positions 8 to 727 of the family's 1533-position model. The record is from RNAcentral.